ACGCUCGACACCUACGGGAGACAGCAGUGAGGAAUAUUGGUCAAUGGACGCAAGUCUGAACCAGCCAUGCCGCGUGCAGGAUGACGGCUCUAUGAGUUGUAAACUGCUUUUGUACGAGGGUAAACGCAGAUACGUGUAUCUGUCUGAAAGUAUCGUACGAAUAAGGAUCGGCUAACUCCGUGCUAGCAGCCGCGGUAAUCUGAGGCGGGCUGGACAAGGC
This 220-nucleotide ribosomal RNA is filed under the name uncultured bacterium. RNAcentral's name for it is "partial 16S ribosomal RNA". It matches the Rfam family "Bacterial small subunit ribosomal RNA", at positions 328 to 539 of the family's 1533-position model. The record is from RNAcentral.